Molecule: ribosomal RNA, 430 nt
Filed under: uncultured bacterium
Lineage: Bacteria
Description: bacterial SSU rRNA
Rfam family: Bacterial small subunit ribosomal RNA
Source: RNAcentral
AUGAACGCUGGCGACGUGGAUAAGGCAUGCAAGUCGAGUGGGUUUAGACCCACGGCGGACGAGGUAGUAACGCGUAGGAACGAACCCGGGAGUCAGGGAUAAUCCGUCGAAAGGCGGGAUAAUACUUGAUAGUCUCUUUGGAGUAAAAAUUUAUUGCUCCCGGAUCGGCCUGCGUAGUAUCAGCUAGUUGGUAGUGUAAUGGACUACCAAGGCUAUGACGCUUAGGGGAGCUGAGAGGCUGACCCCCACCGAUGGAACUGAGAUACGGUCCAUACACCUACGGGUGGCCGCAGUCGAGAAUCUUCCACAAUGGGCGAAAGCCUGAUGGAGCGACGUCGCGUGAUUGAUGAAGUUCUUAGGAAUGUAAAGAUCUUUUAUGAGGGAGAAAGUUAUUGAUAGUACCUCAUGAAUAAGGGGUUGCUAAACUCGU